CAGUAGCCGCGGUAAUACGUAGGUCCCGAGCGUUGUCCGGAUUUACUGGGCGUAAAGCGAGCGCAGGCGGUUUGAUAAGUCUGAAGUUAAAGGCUGUGGCUCAACCAUAGUUCGCUUUGGAAACUGUCAAACUUGAGUGCAGAAGGGGAGAGUGGAAUUCCAUGUGUAGCGGUGAAAUGCGUAGAUAUAUGGAGGAACACCGGUGGCGAAAGCGGCUCUCUGGUCUGUAACUGACGCUGAGGCUCGAAAGCGUGGGGAGCGAACAGGAUUAGAUACCCCCGUAGUCCCUGUCUCUUAUACA
This 301-nucleotide ribosomal RNA is filed under the name uncultured bacterium. RNAcentral's name for it is "partial 16S ribosomal RNA". It matches the Rfam family "Bacterial small subunit ribosomal RNA", at positions 509 to 808 of the family's 1533-position model. The record is from RNAcentral.